RNAcentral lists this ribosomal RNA (730 nucleotides) under uncultured bacterium. RNAcentral describes it as "SSU rRNA". It matches the Rfam family "Bacterial small subunit ribosomal RNA", at positions 505 to 1235 of the family's 1533-position model. The record is from RNAcentral.
GUGCCAGCAGCCGCGGUAAUACGGGAGUGGCAAGCGUUAUCCGGAAUUAUUGGGCGUAAAGCGUCCGCAGGCGGCCCUUCAAGUCUGCUGUUAAAAAGUGGAGCUUAACUCCAUCAUGGCAGUGGAAACUGAGGGGCUUGAGUGUGGUAGGGGCAGAGGGAAUUCCCGGUGUAGCGGUGGAAUGCGUAGAUAUCGGGAAGAACACCAGUGGCGAAGGCGCUCUGCUGGGCCAUCACUGACGCUCAUGGACGAAAGCCAGGGGAGCGAAAGGGAUUAGAUACCCCUGUAGUCCUGGCCGUAAACGAUGAACACUAGGUGUCGGGGGAAUCGACCCCCUCGGUGUCGUAGCCAACGCGUUAAGUGUUCCGCCUGGGGAGUACGCACGCAAGUGUGAAACUCAAAGGAAUUGACGGGGGCCCGCACAAGCGGUGGAGUAUGUGGUUUAAUUCGAUGCAACGCGAAGAACCUUACCAGGGUUUGACAUCCUGCGAAUCUCUUGGAAACGAGAGAGUGCCUUCGGGAGCGCAGUGACAGGUGGUGCAUGGCUGUCGUCAGCUCGUGUCGUGAGAUGUUGGGUUAAGUCCCGCAACGAGCGCAACCCACGUCUUUAGUUGCCAGCAUUUAGUUGGGCAUUCUAGAGAGACCGCCGGUGAUAAACCGGAGGAAGGUGUGGAUGACGUCAAGUCAUCAUGCCCCUUACAUCCUGGGCUACACACGUACUACAAUGCUA